This 584-nucleotide ribosomal RNA is filed under the name uncultured archaeon. Its description in RNAcentral is "partial 16S ribosomal RNA". It matches the Rfam family "Archaeal small subunit ribosomal RNA", at positions 1 to 583 of the family's 1478-position model. The record is from RNAcentral.
UUGNGGNNGAUNNNGNNGGAGGNNANNCCCUUUUAGGUGUUNAANUAAGANAUGGAAGUAAUAUGUUCAUCGUGAACAUGGCAUACUGCUCAGUAACACGUGGACAACCUGCCCUUGGGUCUGGGAUAACCCCGGGAAACUGGGGAUAAUACCGGAUAACGCAUAUGUGCUGGAAUGCUUUAUGCGUAAAAUGGAUUCGUCCGCCCAAGGAUGGGUCUGCGGCCUAUCAGGUAGUAGUGGGUGUAACGUACCUACUAGCCAACAACGGGUACGGGUUGUGAGAGCAAGAGCCCGGAGAUGGAUUCUGAGACAUGAAUCCAGGCCCUACGGGGCGCAGCAGGCGCGAAAACUUUACAAUGCGGGAAACCGUGAUAAGGGAACACCGAGUGCCAGCAUCAUAUGCUGGCUGUCCAGAUGUGUAAACUACAUCUGUUAGCAAGGGCCGGGCAAGACCGGUGCCAGCCGCCGCGGUAACACCGGCGGCCCGAGUGGUGACCGUUAUUAUUGGGUCUAAAGGGUCCGUAGCCGGUUUGGUCAGUCCUCCGGGAAAUCUGAUAGCUUAACUGUUAGGCUUUCGGGGGAUA